Molecule: long non-coding RNA, 1260 nt
Filed under: Sinocyclocheilus grahami
Lineage: Eukaryota; Metazoa; Chordata; Actinopteri; Cypriniformes; Cyprinidae
Description: lncRNA (ENSSGRG00000004550.1)
Source: RNAcentral
GGGCAAUAUAAAUAACAUGCAUUAUUAUUAUUAUUAUUUAAUUGUCCUAAAAUAAGCUUCAAUAUCUUUUAUCUUAACCACAUUUUUUUUUUAUAGUGACAUUAGACAUUAUUUUCAUGAGAUUUAAGCACACAUUUUAUAUCCCAUUUUUGUCUUGAUUUUGGUGUAAAAUCAUGAUCUGGGUGUGCUUUGUGAGAUUCACUCAAUUCGUGAACCGCCAGUGUUGAUUUCACUGCUGAAAUCUGCUGUUGUACCUCUAAUAUAGUCCACCUGAUCGAUACAGCGCUGUAUAUCCAGAGAGCAUGAUGUGGAAUAGUCUUGUGCAGUUUUAGGUGAAUAUAAAGUUGGAAAGCCAUUCUCUGCUCAGGUGUCAUUUGAAUAUAAUGUAACUGUUGCCAUGCAUUCUUCUACCAGCAGAGAGCGCGGUCUUCAGCCAAACAUACGAAACUAGAGCGAGAGUGGAAAGAUCCACUGAUGCGUUGCUCGGUUUGUGUUUGUAUGCAUGUGUCAUUUUGUUUACUUUUCAUGUUUAAUGUUGAUUUAAUGUCCAGUGUGUGUCGAUAUAAUGCUCUAUAUGCACAUACAAACACACACAUCACGUCUGACUGACUGCUGAGUGUCUGUCAUGUCCUGCUUUGAUCAAAUCAAGCGUCUUUGAUCAAUAUGAUUAUCAUAUGAAACUAUAUUUUUAAUUAAGCAGCACCUGAAUGUACAUAAACGGCAUGAAAUUCUUCUGCUCUCAUUUGCAUCUUGUGUCUUGUUCUGAGGUGAUUUUAUGCAUCGUGUUUUGUUGUUGAUCGAGCGUUGUUCGAUGACUUGGUGGAGGAUUGCUGCUUGUUAGUUAUAAUGUAAAUGAGGACAAAACUGAUGUUGUUGUCGACUGAAAGUGAAGGAAAUGCAAAAUUUUGUUGACUUUCUUUAUUCUUUCACUUUGUCUUUCAUAUGUGGUUCGCUUGUAUAAAGUUCUGUAAGGGCCGUGUUUGUACAGCCUCUCUUUAUGAUGGCCUAGAAGAAUACAGAAAUAAAUAACAAAGAAUUAUGAAACGCACCAAACUUCCCGUCUGAACUUCUUGAUUGUUUUAGAUUUCAAAAUCGAUUGUUUGAUUAUUGAUGCUUUACUCGAUUUCCACACUGCGUGAAUUAUAUUAAAACACGUUUUUUGAGAGGUCAGCUUUUGUAAAGGAGUUUUUAAAGGUCAUUUUUCAGGGUGAUUAGUUAAUGCACUGAAGCCAUUAAAAACAACAAAUAUCACAUGCAUGC